This 301-nucleotide ribosomal RNA is filed under the name uncultured bacterium. RNAcentral describes it as "partial 16S ribosomal RNA". It matches the Rfam family "Bacterial small subunit ribosomal RNA", at positions 509 to 809 of the family's 1533-position model. The record is from RNAcentral.
CAGUCGCCACGGUAAUACAGAGGAUGCAAGCGUUAUCCGGAAUGAUUGGGCGUAAAGCGUCUGUAGGGGGCUUUUCAAGUCCGCCGUCAAAUCCCAGGGCUCAACCCUGGACAGGCGGUGGAAACUACCAAGCUGGAGUGCGGUAGGGGCAGAGGGAAUUUCCGGUGGAGCGGUGAAAUGCGUUGAGAUCGAAAAGAACACCAACGGCGAAAGCACUCUGCUGGGCCGACACUGACACUGAGAGACGAAAGCUAGGGGAGCAAAUGGGAUUAGAUACCCGCGUAGUCCCUGUCUCUUAUAA